AGUGUGUGCAUAAAUCUCAGCUCCUUGACUGACUGCAUCUGCACCUAAGGGAAGCUUCUCUGUCGCAAGUGAGGACUUGUGGCCACCCUGACCUGGGUGACACUUCAUCUUCCCUUUUGCCUCUGUCCCUCCAGCUGUGGCUCUGUGGAGUAAGACACGUGGUGGUGGCUGUUGGUGGAGCCUCAGAUGCCAGCGGUCACAAAAGACCCAGCCCCUCGCUGUGCACAGAGCACUUUCCCUGUGUUUCCAGCCUGGCAGCAUCCAGGCAGCAAGCAGAGGGCUGUGCAGAGGCUAGCAUGCUCCAGCCCUCAAGCUGUACUCUCCUCCCGCUCGCCUGCAGCUCAGCUGAGUGGAGGGCUCUCUGGUCCCCUGCAACUUCCCUGAGGAUGGUCUCGAAGGCAGGGAGCAGCCAGCCAACAGGCGCUGCGGGUGCACAGCCUCUCCCAGCACCCUGCCCACUCACUCUUGAGAAGCCCUGUGUCGUCAGUGUGGUGACGCGCCCUAGGAAGUUGCCCAUGUAUGGCUCCCCAAGUGAGUGAUAUCAUCACAAUCCGUGGCUCUGUCUAAAUGGGAUCAUUGGUGAAAUGAGAUUAGAGACGUCCAUCUGAGGAGGCAGCAGACCGAGCACCUGCUCUCUUGAAUCGAUGUCCCGGGGGACGGCACCGCGCACUAAUCAAGGCGUCCGUCUCCAUGGCUAAUUCCGUUAGCAGCCACGCGCCUGCCUCUUCCGCUCCGUGCCAGGCAGCCCCCACAUCCACAUGCAGUCCACUCCAGAUCCGUGUUUUCUAUUAUGCUUGAAUAUAUGGGACAUGCAUCUCGGUCCUCUGCCCGCCACCCUGCUGCAGUGUGCUUGUUUUGCAGAGCUGUGUGGUAGCCUGGCUGGACUCAGGACUGACCGGAGCAGGGACACACGCUGGGUCCUCCUGGCCUCCCUCCAGCCCAAGCACGCAGCCCCUGUCUGCCUGCUGAGAAUCCUCUGCUCCUUGCAUUUGGAUGCUGCCAGCAGUGCAGCUGCCACCGAGCCUCGGGAUCACUUUAGUGGGAACUUUCCUUCCCGCUCCCCAAAGGACAUGUGUAGAAAGAAGGUCGGGCCAGCCCCAUGGAAAUGAAGCUGAUCAAAAUCAAAGGGAGCUUGCAUGGACUGACCCUGUUCAAAGAGUCGCAGUGCACCCUCUGCGGGGGAGCCAGAAGGUGAGUACCCUGGUCCCUCACCUGCACAGGUGGGUGGACACACUUGUGCUCACGGUGGAAUUGAUGGUGAGGGCCUGCUGGGAAUGCUAGAGAGUGUUGAGGCUGCAGUGUCUGUGGGAAAAGUGAAUAACCCACAGCAGCAUUGAGUGUUAGGUGUGAGGAGUUCAUCUCUAAGGAAAAAUCAACAUUAGAGCCAAAUUGCAGGUUUUCUCUUCUUGUUGUUUGGAAUUUACAGAUUUUGGCCAGUAUUCUCUGACUGCUUUAGCGAGUUUCUGUGACUGCAUGUUCUGUGACAUGGAGAGAUGAUUCCUGGUCACUGGCAGUGACUGAGCAUGGAGGGGGUGCGGUGCCUCGCUGGCCUCAGUCGGGGUGAAUGACCAGCCACGUGUGUCGGGUUGUUUCAUCCAGAGCUGCAGCUGCCUAAGAUGCAUUUAAAUGUGGAGCUCCCAAGCUGGUCGCUUGUUAAUGCUGUUCCAAAAUGGUCAAAGCAAAUUUAUGCAGCCUUUUCCUUGGUGUGCUGAGGAAGAAUAAGGAAAGGAUGGCAAAUACCUGGCUCCUCUUAGUGGGUAACCCAGGGCCCACUGGGUUUGGACUGUAGUCUGCUUUCAGCAGAAGGAGGCAGAUUGGCUAGAAAGCCAGUGAACCUCAAGCUGGGGAGACAAGCGAGCCCUGGGGUCAGAGUCAACCAAUCCCAGUGUUGGGGGCCUGGGGUCCAUGCCCCAGGAGCUGGGCUGUGGACUGCGUGUGGCUCGGGCUGAAAACAUAAGUACAGCUCCACUUGGAGACUCUGCCAACACUCAGUCUCCUCAGCUUAGGGGUAGCUGCAUUUGAUGAGGUUUUGGGGUUCUUCCUGUGUGGUUGAAUCAAUGAAGGGCAGAGACACGGCCACAAUCCAUCCCUGGCCUUGCCUUCUAAAGCAUCGGGCUCUGCGCCUGGUGUUCCCAAGGACACAGAGAGAUGUGUCUCCCAGCCAGGGCCUGGUGGCUGUCUCUGGACACAUGGGACGCCCUCCUCUGGGGUCCGUGAUGGCCUGCACCUGUCUAGUGUGCUCUGGACACUUGGAGAGUUUGUUAUUUCCUGUCGCUGUGGCUUUCCGUUGUUGUCUGCUCUGGCUUUGUGCGUGGCUGUGCACUCUUGUUGGAAGCUCCUAGGGAGCUGUGUGUGGGGUCUCCAGAGCAGGGGGUGAGCACAAGCCCAUGCUUUCAUCUGCGUGUUUCUAAUGGCCCAGCUCUGUCCUCUGAACCGGCUGUGUUGUGUGUCUGCCACCGCUGCUGCGUGCUCCCUGCCACUGUCCCCCAGCAUGGGGCUGGCUGGGUGAGGCCUCCGUGGAGGGGAUAGACCCCACCGUAUUCCUGGAGUGUGGACGCUGCUGUGUCCGUGACCGUGACCGUGACCAUCCCGGGUGGCAGACAG
Molecule: long non-coding RNA, 2604 nt
Filed under: Heterocephalus glaber (naked mole-rat)
Lineage: Eukaryota; Metazoa; Chordata; Mammalia; Rodentia; Bathyergidae
Description: lncRNA (ENSHGLG00100050138.1)
Source: RNAcentral